AGCCACGUGAUGAGCACAUAGCGAACUAUUGUUUCGCCUUUUACUAAAGAAUACCGUGUGUUCGUCACAAAUAGUGGCAUACGCCAAUUUUUGGAGGGUUUCUUCAUCUUGAGGGGCC
This 118-nucleotide small nuclear RNA is filed under the name Ipomoea nil (Japanese morning glory). RNAcentral's name for it is "U5 spliceosomal RNA". It matches the Rfam family "U5 spliceosomal RNA". From Rfam's summary of the family: U5 RNA is a component of both types of known spliceosome. The precise function of this molecule is unknown, though it is known that the 5' loop is required for splice site selection and p220 binding, and that both the 3' stem-loop and the Sm site are important for Sm protein binding and cap methylation. The record is from Rfam by way of RNAcentral. Lineage: Eukaryota; Viridiplantae; Streptophyta; Magnoliopsida; Solanales; Convolvulaceae.